GUCUUAGGAAGCAGAGGGGAUCAAGCUUUUCCUUUCUUUUCUUCCCUUCUAUUCUCUCUUCGAUCUUUUCCCUCACGGAAACUGCUGCUAAGGUUCCAUACGGUAUCUUUAUUUUUAUUUUACACUUGGUGAUUUCUGUACGUGGGUUUGCGUCUUUUCUGUGUUUUAGCUUCUGGGUUAGUCUACUUUGUCGACAAUAAAGAAUUUUGUUCUUCGGUGUGCUGGUUUUGUGGGGUUUUUUAGAGUGUUUCUGAGAGGAAGAAUGGCAAAUGGAGAAGAUAAAAGCAAAAGUAAAGACUAUUAUCAAGUUUUGGGAUUGAACAAGGAAUGCACUGCAACAGAGCUCAGGAA
RNAcentral lists this unclassified non-coding RNA (351 nucleotides) under Hevea brasiliensis (rubber tree). Lineage: Eukaryota; Viridiplantae; Streptophyta; Magnoliopsida; Malpighiales; Euphorbiaceae. The record is from RNAcentral.